UGAUGUAAGUUGAAGUACUGAACGAACCCUGUCAUAUGAAGCAGAGCAGUUUAAUGUGUGUCUGAAAAGGAUGUCGUGAAUAACCUUUAGCCAAACGUCUCCAUGGGAACCUGAGGGGUGGUUAUUUCAUUCGUUGCAUCUCCAGGCAAAUGUUUUCAAGACGUAUCGAGUUCUCUUUAAAUGUAACAAGCAGUAAGUUACCUCCAAUAGAAGCUAACGGUACGACGAACUACACGCAGCAGACGACGUCCCGGUGUAUUAACGUCGAGGCCAGUAAGCUGAAUUGUUUAUUGACAGGCGUUUUGAAGGAUGACAUCAACAACAUGCUGUCCAGCUCCAUGUCAUAACAGAAAUGCGUUGACCUGGCUUCUAUGCCCAAACAUUGAUCAUGUGUCCUCUGCAUUGCAAAUUCUUGUUCACCUUGCUCAGGAGGACAAAGGUGAACUUGUCGAAAAGGUUCUUCAGCACUGCAACCCAGAAUUAUGCAUAGAUGCUCUUCGAAAACUGCUGAAGUCACCUGCCUCAUGGGUUGGCAUCAUCUGAGGUCCUCUGAGGGGUUGGCAUCAUCUGUUCUCAGGUGUUCUGGAUCUAGACUGAAGCUUGUGUAAAUCCUAGUUACCAUGGGAUGUCACGUGGCAAAAACAGAGAAACAAAUAGAGAAAUAAUUAGCGUAGCUGCUGUUCCAACCAAGUAAAAUUAAUUUGUUUAACCCAAGCUAAAGAAUAAUAAUGCGCAUUUGAUCAGAUAUAACUGCAGUCCAAGAUUAUGAGAUGCAUUAUUUGAAUGCUUGGCCAAAGAGUGUGUCUGAACCCCGAACAUUAUCAGGAAGGUUAUUCCAGAGUUUGGGAGCCAAAUGCAAAAAAG
Molecule: long non-coding RNA, 864 nt
Organism: Cyprinus carpio carpio
Lineage: Eukaryota; Metazoa; Chordata; Actinopteri; Cypriniformes; Cyprinidae
Source: Ensembl